This 423-nucleotide ribosomal RNA is filed under the name uncultured microorganism. RNAcentral describes it as "bacterial SSU rRNA". It matches the Rfam family "Bacterial small subunit ribosomal RNA", at positions 9 to 437 of the family's 1533-position model. The record is from RNAcentral.
GAGUUUGAUCGUGGCUCAGAUUGAACGCUGGCGGCAUGCCUUACACAUGCAAGUCGAACGGUAACGGGUCCUUCGGGAUGCCGACGAGUGGCGAACGGGUGAGUAAUAUAUCGGAACGUGCCCAGUAGUGGGGAGUAACUGCUCGAAAGAGCAGCUAAUACCGCAUACGACCUGAGGGUGAAAGGGGGGAGUCGCAAGACCUCUCGCUAUUGGAGCGGCCGAUAUCAGAUUAGCUAGUUGGUGGGGUAAAGGCCUACCAAGGCAACGAUCUGUAGUUGGUCUGAGAGGACGACCAGCCACACUGGGACUGAGACACGGCCCAGACUCCUACGGGAGGCAGCAGUGGGGAAGUUUUGGACAAUGGGCGCAAGCCUGAUCCAGCAAUGCCGCGUGCAGGAAGAAGGCCUGGUUGUAACUGCUUUG